Molecule: long non-coding RNA, 202 nt
Filed under: Elaeis guineensis (African oil palm)
Lineage: Eukaryota; Viridiplantae; Streptophyta; Magnoliopsida; Arecales; Arecaceae
Description: long non-coding RNA (EGUI_LNC030425)
Source: RNAcentral
UAACACGGCCAUGCUACCGAGGGAUGGACCCACGAUAACACGAAGCCAAAAUUUAUCUUCUUAAAUAUAAUAACAGGUGUAUCACAAAUAAAUGUAAUAAUAAAGUUCAAUUCAAAUAUUUAAUUAAACCAAAACUGGUUCAGAGCAUCUAAAUCCAAAGAUAAAAUAAUCCAAGUCUUAAAAUUCAUAAUGACUACAAUCC